This is a long non-coding RNA of Rhagoletis zephyria (snowberry fruit fly), 1644 nucleotides long. RefSeq lists it as uncharacterized. The record is from RefSeq and is a predicted model, not a curated record. NCBI's taxonomy places the organism in Eukaryota, Metazoa, Arthropoda, Insecta, Diptera, Tephritidae.
GCUGAUGCUGCUGCAAUCGGCGGAUCGACAAGACAGCCAGCCGAGUACAAUCGAUCGGACGGUUCAAAUUGAUUCAGAAUUGCACUCGACAAGCGCAACAUCAGCAGCAGCAACAACAAAGCAAGUCAAAAACUUACGAGAAUACCAACAAACAAUAGAUAGUUGGCAGACCACCAUACAUAUUACAUACAUAUGUAUGUGGGGAAAACGGCUGAAGAAGCUGGAGCUGCUGCUGACCAGCGGCGAUCUGUCGUUAUACUCGUAUAUUUCGGCUUGUAUGUGGAGAACAGUAGUAACUCGGUGCGGUGCGAUAACACCGAACACAGCAACGCUUCCAAUACUUUGACAAGCACGAUCAACAGCGAUCAACAUCGCCAGCAACAGCAUCAGCAUCAGCACCGGCACCGGCCUCAGCACCCAUACAAAGCGACUAGCAGCGCGCCGAUCAAAACACCGCUACUAUAUACUACUGCCAACCACCAUUCAAGAAUCGAUUCUGAUCUUCACAACGCCUAACGAGUAGCUACUAUCCUCCAUCGUCACAGUGAAUUGUUUUCCCAGUCGUAAUCGGAUCGUGUUGGCAAACGGACGUCAAUAGCGGAGCAACGAUUUUCAAUUGAUUGAACUAAACUGAACUGAACUGAACCGAACCGAAGUGAACUGUGUGAACAACACAACAACCAUCGAUCAGUGCGCGCAUAUCAGCAGUAAAAACUGCAAACGCUCAGAAAAUUUUAUAAAUUCGGCGAAACAAGCAAAGUACAAAGAUCGCAUAUAACGGGUUUGUAGCUAGAAGAAAAAUCGAGUAAAAUUUUUGAACACAUCCUUUAAAAGAAAAAAAAACAACUUAAAAAAAGUAAAGUUGAUUAACUGAAAAGUGGAAAAAAAACUCGUUAAACAUUCAAAUCGAAAAGUUGAAGUCGAGUUGAAAAAUACAAAAAAAAAAAAAUUAAAAAUUCUCAUUGCUCACAAAAGCUAGAAAUUCCGCAUGAACGGGGAAUUUUAGAGGGUGCCUGUUAGAUUAUUUCGAGCGAUACGCGGCCACUUGUUGCUGCCUAGAUGUCAAAUGUUAACAUUUUAUAUACCUACAUAUGCAUGCUCAAAUUGAGAUCAGUAAAUACAGACACACGAAUUAAGGGCAUUACUCAAACGAAAAAAAUAAAAAUAAAAUCUUCAACUUUCUACAUCGAUUUUUGUUAAAGAAAAUCUUAAAACUUGUAUUGAAAAGUGAUUUCAAACAAUCCACAGUGAAAUAACUAUUUAAAGAAUUUUGGAAAAAAAAAAAUAAUAAUUACUUUACAAUAUGGAAAUUCCGCGCAAGCCUGCGUUAAUACGUUAAAAUCCCGAAAUCGUGCAAAAACCCCCAAACACAGUAAAGACGAAGCAGUUAGCACUAAAAAAAAAACAAAACAAAACAACCAACAAAGUCCAAGGCACUUACGCUGCCUGUGGCCUGCCUUUUUACACUCCAACACGCACACACUACGCUGCGCCGCUUUGAUCCUUGCAACGCGCUCAGUGCAUGAUUUUGAGUGCGCGCGCGCCCUAACAUCAAAAUCAUCGGCAGCGGACAGAAGCUAACAACAACAAGCAGCCAGCUACACAUAAAAGUUAGUACGCCUACAACAUAUGUACGACGGACUU